CAGUCGCCACGGUAAUACGGAGGGGGCUAGCGUUGUUCGGAAUUACUGGGCGUAAAGCGCACGUAGGCGGCUUGGUAAGUUAGAGGUGAAAGCCCGGAGCUCAACUCCGGAAUUGCCUUUAAGACUGCCGAGCUAGCAGGUGAGAGAGGUAAGUGGAAUUCCGAGUGUAGAGGUGAAAUUCGUAGAUAUUCGGAAGAACACCAGUGGCGAAGGCGGCUUACUGGCUCAUACUGGACGCUGAGGUGCGAAAGCGUGGGGAGCAAACAGGAUUAGAUACCCCUGUAGUCCCUGUCUCUUAUAC
RNAcentral lists this ribosomal RNA (301 nucleotides) under uncultured bacterium. RNAcentral's name for it is "partial 16S ribosomal RNA". It matches the Rfam family "Bacterial small subunit ribosomal RNA", at positions 509 to 807 of the family's 1533-position model. The record is from RNAcentral.